UGAAUAUACCGGUUCUCGUUAGAUCACCGAAGUUAAGCAUCACGGUGGGCGGUCAGUACUUGGGGCGGUGACCACCUGGGAACAUCGCGUGCCGUU
RNAcentral lists this ribosomal RNA (96 nucleotides) under Caerostris darwini. The record is from RNAcentral. Lineage: Eukaryota; Metazoa; Arthropoda; Arachnida; Araneae; Araneidae.